CGAACUGGGCUUGUGGUUUAGUGGUAUAAUACUCCCUUAGCAUGGGAGUGGUCCGGGGUUCGAUUCCCGCGAGUCCAU
Molecule: transfer RNA, 78 nt
Filed under: Penicillium nalgiovense
Lineage: Eukaryota; Fungi; Ascomycota; Eurotiomycetes; Eurotiales; Aspergillaceae
Description: tRNA-Ala
Rfam family: tRNA
About the family: Transfer RNA (tRNA) molecules are approximately 80 nucleotides in length.
Source: RNAcentral